GACGAACGCUGGCGGCGUGCUUAACACAUGCAAGUCGAACGGAAAGGCCCUGCUUUUGUGGGGUGCUCGAGUGGCGAACGGGUGAGUAACACGUGAGUAACCUGCCCUUGACUUUGGGAUAACUUCAGGAAACUGGGGCUAAUACCGGAUAGGAGCUCCUGCUGCAUGGUGGGGGUUGGAAAGUUUCGGCGGUUGGGGAUGGACUCGCGGCUUAUCAGCUUGUUGGUGGGGUAGUGGCUUACCAAGGCUUUGACGGGUAGCCGGCCUGAGAGGGUGACCGGCCACAUUGGGACUGAGAUACGGCCCAGACUCCUACGGGAGGCAGCAGUGGGGAAUAUUGCACAAUGGGCGGAAGCCUGAUGCAGCAACGCCGCGUGCGGGAUGACGGCCUUCGGGUUGUAAACCGCUUUCGCCUGUGACGAAGCGUGAGUGACGGUAAUGGGUAAAGAAGCACCGGCUAACUACGUGCCAGCAGCCGCGGUGAUACGUAGGGUGCGAGCGUUGUCCGGAUUUAUUGGGCGUAAAGGGCUCGUAGGUGGUUGAUCGCGUCGGAAGUGUAAUCUUGGGGCUUAACCCUGAGCGUGCUUUCGAUACGGGUUGACUUGAGGAAGGUAGGGGAGAAUGGAAUUCCUGGUGGAGCGGUGGAAUGCGCAGAUAUCAGGAGGAACACCAGUGGCGAAGGCGGUUCUCUGGGCCUUUCCUGACGCUGAGGAGCGAAAGCGUGGGGAGCGAACAGGCUUAGAUACCCUGGUAGUCCACGCUGUAAACGGUGGGUACUAGGUGUGGGGUCCAUUCCACGGGUUCCGUGCCGUAGCUAACGCUUUAAGUACCCCGCCUGGGGAGUACGGCCGCAAGGCUAAAACUCAAAGGAAUUGACGGGGCCCCGCACAAGCGGCGGAGCAUGCGGAUUAAUUCGAUGCAACGCGUAGAACCUUACCUGGGUUUGACAUGGAUCGGGAGUGCUCAGAGAUGGGUGUGCCUCUUUUGGGGUCGGUUCACAGGUGGUGCAUGGCUGUCGUCAGCUCGUGUCGUGAGAUGUUGGGUUAAGUCCCGCAACGAGCGCAACCCUUGUUCACUGUUGCCAGCACGUUAUGGUGGGGACUCAGUGGAGACCGCCGGGGUCAACUCGGAGGAAGGUGGGGAUGACGUCAAGUCAUCAUGCCCCUUAUGUCCAGGGCUUCACGCAUGCUACAAUGGCUGGUACAGAGAGUGGCGAGCCUGUGAGGGUGAGCGAAUCUCGGAAAGCCGGUCUCAGUUCGGAUUGGGGUCCGCAACUCGACCUCAUGAAGUCGGAGUCGCUAGUAAUCGCAGAUCAGCAACGCUGCGGUGAAUACGUUCCCGGG
Molecule: ribosomal RNA, 1343 nt
Filed under: uncultured bacterium
Lineage: Bacteria
Description: 16S ribosomal RNA
Rfam family: Bacterial small subunit ribosomal RNA
Source: RNAcentral